RNAcentral lists this ribosomal RNA (253 nucleotides) under uncultured bacterium. Its description in RNAcentral is "partial 16S ribosomal RNA". It matches the Rfam family "Bacterial small subunit ribosomal RNA", at positions 524 to 776 of the family's 1533-position model. The record is from RNAcentral.
UACGUAGGGUGCAAGCGUUGUCCGGAAUUAUUGGGCGUAAAGAGCUCGUAGGCGGUCUGUCGCGUCGGCUGUGAAAACCCGGAGCUCAACUCCGGGCCUGCAGUCGAUACGGGCAGGCUGGAGGCAGGCAGGGGAGAACGGAAUUCCCGGUGUAGCGGUGAAAUGCGCAGAUAUCGGGAGGAACACCGGUGGCGAAGGCGGUUCUCUGGGCCUGUACUGACGCUGAGGAGCGAAAGCGUGGGGAGCGAACAGG